UACGUAGGUGGCGAGCGUUGUCCGGAUUUACUGGGCGUAAAGGGAGCGUAGGCGGACUUUUAAGUGAGAUGUGAAAUACCCGGGCUCAACUUUGGUGCUGCAUUUCAAACUGGAAGUCUAGAGUGCAGGAGAGGAGAAUGGAAUUCCUAGUGUAGCUGUGAAAUGCAUAGAGAUUAGGAAGAACACCAGUGGCGAAGGCGAUUCUCUGGACUGUAACUGACGCUGAGGCUCGAAAGCGUGGGGAGCAAACAGGAUUAGA
RNAcentral lists this ribosomal RNA (259 nucleotides) under uncultured prokaryote. RNAcentral describes it as "partial 16S ribosomal RNA". It matches the Rfam family "Bacterial small subunit ribosomal RNA", at positions 524 to 782 of the family's 1533-position model. The record is from RNAcentral.